This 1492-nucleotide ribosomal RNA is filed under the name metagenome. RNAcentral's name for it is "bacterial SSU rRNA". It matches the Rfam family "Bacterial small subunit ribosomal RNA". The record is from RNAcentral.
AGAGUUUGGUCCUGGCUCAGGACGAACGCUGGCGGCGCGCCUAACACAUGCAAGUCGAACGGAGAUUACAGGCGGAAGUUUUCGGAUGGAAGCUUGUAAACUUAGUGGCGGACGGGUGAGUAACACGUGAGCAACCUGCCUAUCAGAGGGGGAUAACGAUUGGAAACGAUCGCUAAUACCGCAUGACAUAGCGGAAUCGCAUGGUUCUGUUAUCAAAGGUUUUAUCGCUGAUAGAUGGGCUCGCGUCCGAUUAGAUAGUUGGUGGGGUAACGGCCUACCAAGUCGACGAUCGGUAGCCGGACUGAGAGGUCGAACGGCCACAUUGGGACUGAGACACGGCCCAGACUCCUACGGGAGGCAGCAGUGGGGGAUAUUGCACAAUGGGGGAAACCCUGAUGCAGCGACGCCGCGUGAGGGAAGACGGUCCUCUGGAUUGUAAACCUCUGUCUUCGGGGACGAAACGAGACGGUACCCGAGGAGGAAGCCACGGCUAACUACGUGCCAGCAGCCGCGGUAAUACGUAGGUGGCAAGCGUUGUCCGGAAUUACUGGGUGUAAAGGGAGCGUAGGCGGGCAGGCAAGUCAGGCGUGAAAUAUAUCGGCUCAACCGGUAACGGCGCUUGAAACUGCAGGUCUUGAGUGAAGUAGAGGUUGGCGGAAUUCCUAGUGUAGCGGUGAAAUGCGUAGAUAUUAGGAGGAACACCAGUGGCGAAGGCGGCCAACUGGGCUUUUACUGACGCUGAGGCUCGAAAGUGUGGGGAGCAAACAGGAUUAGAUACCCUGGUAGUCCACACCGUAAACGAUGAUUACUAGGUGUGGGGGGACUGACCCCUUCCGUGCCGGAGUUAACACAAUAAGUAAUCCACCUGGGGAGUACGGCCGCAAGGUUGAAACUCAAAGGAAUUGACGGGGGCCCGCACAAGCAGUGGAGUAUGUGGUUUAAUUCGACGCAACGCGAAGAACCUUACCAGGUCUUGACAUCCCGACGACCGGCCCGUAACGGGGCCUUCUCUUCGGAGCAUUGGAGACAGGUGGUGCAUGGUUGUCGUCAGCUCGUGUCGUGAGAUGUUGGGUUAAGUCCCGCAACGAGCGCAACCCUUAUCCUCAGUAGCCAGCAGGUAAAGCUGGGCACUCUGUGGAGACUGCCAGGGAUAACCUGGAGGAAGGUGGGGAUGACGUCAAAUCAUCAUGCCCCUUAUGAUCUGGGCUACACACGUGCUACAAUGGCGUAAACAAAGGGAGGCAAAGCCGCGAGGUGGAGCAAAUCCCAAAAAUAACGUCUCAGUUCGGACUGCAGUCUGCAACUCGACUGCACGAAGCUGGAAUCGCUAGUAAUCGCGAAUCAGAAUGUCGCGGUGAAUACGUUCCCGGGUCUUGUACACACCGCCCGUCACACCAUGGGAGUUGGUAACGCCCGAAGUCAGUGACCCAACCUUUCAGGAGGGAGCUGCCGAAGGCGGGACUGAUAACUGGGGUGAAGUCGUAACAAGGUA